CUACGGGCGGCUGCAGUGAGGAAUAUUGCACAAUGGGGGGAACCCUGAUGCAGCAACGCCGCGUGGAGGAUGGCGCAUUUCGGUGUGUAAACUCCUUUUAUAUGUCAAGAAAAUGACGGUAGCAUAUGAAUAAGCACCGGCUAACUCCGUGCCAGCAGCCGCGGUAAUACGGAGGGUGCAAGCGUUACUCGGAAUCACUGGGCGUAAAGGACGCGUAGGCGGGUUAUCAAGUCAGGUGUGAAAUCCUACAGCUUAACUGUAGAACUGCACUUGAAACUGGUAACCUAGAGUAUGGGAGGGGCAGAUGGAAUUAGUGGUGUAGGGGUAAAAUCCGUAGAUAUCACUAGGAAUACCUAAAGCGAAGGCGAUCUCCUGGAACAUUACUGACGCUAAGGCGUGAAAGCGUGGGGAGCAAACAGGAUUAGAUACCCCCGUAGUC
This 439-nucleotide ribosomal RNA is filed under the name uncultured bacterium. RNAcentral's name for it is "partial 16S ribosomal RNA". It matches the Rfam family "Bacterial small subunit ribosomal RNA", at positions 339 to 795 of the family's 1533-position model. The record is from RNAcentral.